Triplophysa dalaica is the source of this 338-nucleotide long non-coding RNA. RefSeq lists it as uncharacterized. The record is from RefSeq and is a predicted model, not a curated record. The transcript has 3 exons. Lineage: Eukaryota; Metazoa; Chordata; Actinopteri; Cypriniformes; Nemacheilidae.
UUGUGGUUUACUGCAGGAAGACGUGCUCUAACUUGCACUUUUUCGUAAAGUUCGUCUGGUGAAGAAGAAUAUGAUUCGCUCUGUGAUUGUUUUACACUGGUUGCUUUGGCUCUUGGCCGCAACUUUCUGUGUCCGGAGGUGGAAGAUCAGGAUACAAACACAUACAGCUGUGUGGUGAACAACUCGUUCACCAACAAAACUACACGACUCCACAUCAAUGUAUUAUGUAAAGAUAACAGCCAGAAAAUAACAAAAAUAGUUAUUGGUGUUUUGGUUUUGGUUCUUGUGGCGAGUAUAAUUGCAUUUUUAAUAUGGAGGAGCAGACGAAGUCAAGAGGG